AUUGAACGCUGGCGGCAUGCCUUACACAUGCAAGUCGAACGGCAGCACGGGUGCUUGCACCUGGUGGCGAGUGGCGAACGGGUGAGUAAUACAUCGGAACAUGUCCUGUAGUGGGGGAUAGCCCGGCGAAAGCCGGAUUAAUACCGCAUACGAUCUACGGGUGAAAGCGGGGGACCUUCGGGCCUCGCGCUAUAGGGUUGGCCGAUGGCCGAUUAGCUAGUUGGUGGGGUAAAGGCCUACCAAGGCGACGAUCAGUAGCUGGUCUGAGAGGACGACCAGCCACACUGGGACUGAGACACGGCCCAGACUCCUACGGGAGGCAGCAGUGGGGAAUUUUGGACAAUGGGCGAAAGCCUGAUCCAGCAAUGCCGCGUGUUUGAAGAAGGCCUUCGGGUUGUAAAGCACUUUUGUCCGGAAAGAAAUCCUUGGCCCUAAUACGGUCGGGGGAUGACGGUACCGGAAGAAUAAGCACCGGCUAACUACGUG
This 486-nucleotide ribosomal RNA is filed under the name uncultured bacterium. RNAcentral's name for it is "partial 16S ribosomal RNA". It matches the Rfam family "Bacterial small subunit ribosomal RNA", at positions 30 to 507 of the family's 1533-position model. The record is from RNAcentral.